GGGGCUGACUUGGAUUUCGACAGAUUUCUUGUCGCACAGACAGCAUGCCAAGCGCUACUUGUAAAACAGCAACAAAAAUAACUGUAAACAACACAGAUUACGCUCCAGCUUACGCUAAAGCUGCGUGAGUUAAUCUCCUUUUGGAGCUGGACUGAUUAGAAUUUCUAGCGUUUUAAUCACUCCAUAACCUUAAGCUAGACGCUUUUAAAAGGUGGUUCGCCUUUUAAACUAAGAAACAAGAACUCUUGAAACUACCUCAAGGUUUUAGAAAGUUGGACCAGAGCUAGUUUUAAGGCUAAAAAAUUAACCAAUUUUCUAAGCAUUGUAGAAGUUUGUGUUUAGGACAAGAUUUUUGGACUGGGGUUCGAUUCCCCACAGCUCCACCA
Molecule: transfer-messenger RNA, 386 nt
Filed under: Helicobacter pylori
Lineage: Bacteria; Pseudomonadati; Campylobacterota; Epsilonproteobacteria; Campylobacterales; Helicobacteraceae
Also listed under: 1 other name
Rfam family: transfer-messenger RNA
About the family: Bacterial tmRNA, also known as 10Sa RNA or SsrA, is named for its dual tRNA and mRNA-like properties.
Source: RNAcentral